CUACGACUAUCUGCUAUUGAAGCAUCCAUCUACAAAUGGAUAAUAUUUUUGUUUUUGUGUAGGCGAGUUUUUGAAAAUAACGGAUCCCUACCCCCUCAAGGGGUAGGGAUCCGUUAUUUUAUUGAGUCGGUUUCUUUAGUAGUUUUUUUUUUUUCUUUUCUUUCGUUCAUUUAGUAUGACCUAUUUGGUAUGCACUAAUGCUACUAAGAAAUUUCUAAUAGAUAAAAAUUCYCUAAGGGUUCAAAUUUUUGAAAAU
This 256-nucleotide unclassified non-coding RNA is filed under the name Zieria laxiflora. RNAcentral's name for it is "partial miscellaneous RNA". The record is from RNAcentral. Lineage: Eukaryota; Viridiplantae; Streptophyta; Magnoliopsida; Sapindales; Rutaceae.